GAAAUGCGAUAAGUAGUGUGAAUUGCAGAAUUCAGUGAAUCAUCGAAUCUUUGAACUCACAGUGCGCCCCUUGGUAUUCCAUGGGGCAUGCCUGUUCGAGCGUCAUUUGUACCCUCAAGCUUAGCUUGGUGUUGGGCGUCUUGUCCUCUUCUGGAGGACUCGCCGCAAAACAAUUGGCAGCCGGCAUGUUGGUAUCGGAGCGCAGCACAAGUAGCACUUUCUUCCAUGAAUGUUGGCAACCAUCAAGGCCAUUUUUUCACUCUUGACCUCGGAUCAGGUAGGGAUACCCGCUGAACUUAA
RNAcentral lists this unclassified non-coding RNA (300 nucleotides) under uncultured Pleosporales. RNAcentral's name for it is "sequence contains ITS1". The stretch from base 1 to 105 matches the Rfam family "5.8S ribosomal RNA", at positions 50 to 154 of the family's 154-position model. Lineage: Eukaryota; Fungi; Ascomycota; Dothideomycetes; Pleosporales. The record is from RNAcentral.